Molecule: long non-coding RNA, 1408 nt
Filed under: Trifolium pratense (red clover)
Lineage: Eukaryota; Viridiplantae; Streptophyta; Magnoliopsida; Fabales; Fabaceae
Description: long non-coding RNA (TPRA_LNC005883)
Source: RNAcentral
ACUUAACUUGCUCUUAUUCCCGAAUAAUUAUAAAAUUGUCUUCCGAUACUUAUACUUAACACGUUAUUCCAACGACUAACUUUCUCAUUCCAUGUCUUUCAUUAAUUAACUUUCACACUUAACUCCAUCUUUACUUCCAAAAUAUCAUAUACCAACCUUACAUUUCUAGAUUGCUUACUUAACUUCAAUUCUUUCAUCACAUUAUCUCUACCCAAUUGAUAACUCAAUUUCCAAAAUUAUAAUCCUUCAACUUCUAAUCUCAACAAUUGAUUUAGGCUUCCUAUUGCAACACGACAUCCACCUUCGACGGUUCCACAUCUAUUCAACCAUUGUUCGAUAACACGUGAUUACAAAAUUCAUUUCCGGUAACCAAAACUCACACUUCAACGACUUUGCAUACAACAUCUUUCUAUUGAAAAGAUUUGCCACUCAUUUCUCCGAUGCUCCACAUACCCUUCAACUGACUUUAAAUACACUAAGGUAUCAUCCAUAAACAUUCUCGACAUACUAGUCACACCCUACGGCUUCACAAUUACUCUUAUUGUGUUCUGAAAUUAGUCUCUGGUAUAACCUCUGAUUCCAAAUUCCAUCUUACUUGACUUACGAGUACUGAUCAACUAAUCCUUAAAAUCCUCAAAUGGUAUUCUCAUCCAGUCGUCGAUAAUCACCACGUCGUCUCAUGUUGUCGUUCUUCUUCUUACUCAAUUACACUGACGUCCUCCACUGCGAAACAAACUUUACUAACUAAUGCAUGAACUUCAAUGACAUCUCCAAUUGGUCUGAUUCUUCGCUCCCGAAAUAUCUCAGAAGGAUACAAUCUUCUCCCCCACUUAUCUUAAACCCACCGACAAUCAUCUAUCGAAAACUCUCAAUUCUAGUAAUUAAAUGCAGGCUUCUACGGUACUAACUUAUCCUCCUAGUAAGGAACUAGUACCGACAGUGAUUACACACAUGUCGUAUACAAGGGGUAACUACUUAAANNNNNNNNNNNNNNNNNNNNNNGCACAAAAGCAAAACAUAACAUUUCACAUAGACAUUCAAGUAGCAUACACUUUCUCUAAAUCUCUAAAUUUAAGAAUCAAAUCAAUCAUUAGAAAAGAUGUAUUCCAUAGCAACGAAUUCAAAAAAUUCAACAAUUCAUGCAAGCAUGUCAUACAAGAAUAUAACUAUCUCAACUUGAAGAUUAACAAGAUAAAAUAAGGUAAUCAAAACAUGUACAACAUAUAUGCCAAGCUCAACAUAAACAAAAUAGCUUAGUAGUUUACUAUAACUUACCAAUAGUAAAAAGAAUGAAUCAACUUACAUGACAUUAAUCUAGCACAUCUCAUAUAAGACAAAACAAAUGUCAAACAUAUUUUUGAAUUAACUUUUUACUACUAACUUCUAUUCUUAGAAAAAUAGAAUAAUC